Bombina bombina (fire-bellied toad) is the source of this 251-nucleotide long non-coding RNA. RefSeq lists it as uncharacterized. The transcript has 3 exons. Lineage: Eukaryota; Metazoa; Chordata; Amphibia; Anura; Bombinatoridae. The record is from RefSeq and is a predicted model, not a curated record.
AGUGUAAUCAAUACCAAAGUAAAGGUUGAGAAAGAAUUCAUAAUGAUCUGCGAUGGGAGAAGAUUUUGUAAAUGAAAAAAAUGUAGUGGCUGCUUGGGAUUAACUGCCGGAGUUGCUGGAAACCGUACAGCUGUUUUUCCGCAUACAGUUUUCUGCAUGAUACUCUGGGAGAGCAUGAUAGGCAUGAGGAAAAGAAAAGGAGGACUUGGUACUUUUUUCAGGAGUGGAAGGAGUGGGAAGUGGAGUAAGAG